GUCUAUGGCCAUACUGCCCUGAAUGUGUCUCUUCUCAUCUGAUCUUGGAAGUUAAGCAGGGUUGGGCCUGAUUUUCUUGGGAGAAAAAAAAAAUUUAAAUUGAUGUCUUAAACU
This 114-nucleotide ribosomal RNA is filed under the name Fukomys damarensis (Damara mole-rat). The record is from RNAcentral. Lineage: Eukaryota; Metazoa; Chordata; Mammalia; Rodentia; Bathyergidae.